This 372-nucleotide unclassified non-coding RNA is filed under the name Hevea brasiliensis (rubber tree). Lineage: Eukaryota; Viridiplantae; Streptophyta; Magnoliopsida; Malpighiales; Euphorbiaceae. The record is from RNAcentral.
CGCGGGGAAUUCUUACUGAACUGAACCUCAAUGCUCCAUUAUCUACCCCAUUCAGGCCAACCUUGUGGCCACAAUCAUGUAUUUCAAUUCCUGGAAGCGUCUGGUGGGUCUUCAAAUCCCUUAUUGGAACAAUGAAAGCAUGGACACCCAUAUCAGAGACACCCUUAGAAUCAUCAGUAGGCAACAUAAGCUUGGCAAAAACAGUGGCAAACUUGCCAUGAACUGCAGCAUUGCCAAUCCACCACUUGAUGGCUCCAUCAUGAGGAGUGUUGAUAACAAAUUCAUCCGUAAUUGGAUCAAAUGUUGCAACAGUUUGGAGUCCUUGAACAUUUGACCCAUGAUAUAGCUCUGUCAUAGCAAAACAACCUGGGU